This 497-nucleotide ribosomal RNA is filed under the name uncultured bacterium. RNAcentral describes it as "partial 16S ribosomal RNA". It matches the Rfam family "Bacterial small subunit ribosomal RNA", at positions 28 to 507 of the family's 1533-position model. The record is from RNAcentral.
GAUGAACGCUGGCGGCGUGCCUAAUACAUGCAAGUCGAGCGAACGGACGAGAAGCUUGCUUCUCUGAUGUUAGCGGCGGACGGGUGAGUAACACGUGGAUAACCUCCCUAUAAGACUGGGAUAACUUCGGGAAACCGGAGCUAAUACCGGAUGAUAUUUUGAACCGCAUGGUUCAAAAGUGAAAGACGGUCUUGCUGUCACUUAUAGAUGGAUCCGCGCUGCAUUAGCUAGUUGGUAAGGUAACGGCUUACCAAGGCAACGAUGCAUAGCCGACCUGAGAGGGUGAUCGGCCACACUGGAACGGAGACACGGUCCAGACUCCUACGGGAGGCAGCAGUAGGGAAUCUUCCGCAAUGGGCGAAAGCCUGACGGAGCAACGCCGCGUGAGUGAUGAAGGUCUUCGGAUCGUAAAACUCUGUUAUUAGGGAAGAACAUAUGUGUAAGUAACUGUGCACAUCUUGACGGUACCUAAUCAGAAAGCCACGGCUAACUACGUG